GAUAUUAGUCAAUGGCCUAACGGCUGAACUGGCAACUUGGAGAAGUGGCAAGUCUUCCAGUAUGGGGAGCAAAACAGCUAUGGGUCAAGUCCGAUAUCUUUAGGAGGCGCGAAGCUCCUCUUAUUGUGAGGGCGAGUUUUAUAACACCAUAGGACUGGCCGUCCCAUAUGAAAAGAUUAUAUUAGAAUUGAAUGAAGCUUUGUUUAUAUAUUGAUAAUGACAGUAUAUAUAUCGUGUCUUGACUAAUUGCGUGCCAGCAGUCGCGGUAAUACGUAAGAGACUAGUGUUAUUCAUCUUAAUUAGGUUUAAAGGGUACCCAGACGGUCAAUAUAGCUUAUAAAAUGUUAGUACUUGACUAGAGUUUUAUGUAAGAGGGCAGUACUUGAGGAGGAGAGAUGAAAUUUCGUGAUACCAAAGGGACUCGGUAAAGGCGAAGGCAGCCCUCUAGGUAAAAACUGACGUUGAAGGACGAAGGCACAGAGAACAAACAGGAUUAGAUACCCAAGUAGUCUUUGCAGUAAAUGAUGAAUGCCAUAGGUUAGAUCUGAGUUGGUAGUCUAGUUGAGUUAGUUUACUAAACUAAUGAUCUAUACAAGCCAGCCUUAGAUUUGGUCUAUAAAUGAAAGUGUAAGCAUUUCACCUCAAGAGUAAUGUGGCAACGCAGGAACUGAAAUCACUAGACCGUUUCUGACACCAGUAGUGAAGUAUGUUAUUUAUU
This 718-nucleotide ribosomal RNA is filed under the name Fusarium sp. RNAcentral describes it as "SSU rRNA". It matches the Rfam family "Bacterial small subunit ribosomal RNA", at positions 359 to 950 of the family's 1533-position model. Lineage: Eukaryota; Fungi; Ascomycota; Sordariomycetes; Hypocreales; Nectriaceae. The record is from RNAcentral.